UUAUCAGACUUGUUACAAGGUUGUUCUAACAAGUCUGAUACAGUCAUGAUAUAACAAGAAUGUUACAAGGUUGACGACACGAGGUUGUAACAGUAUUGUUAUAUCAUGACUGUAUAGGACUUGUUGGAACAACCUUGCAACAAGUCUGAUAA
This 152-nucleotide microRNA precursor is filed under the name Paramuricea clavata. The record is from RNAcentral. Lineage: Eukaryota; Metazoa; Cnidaria; Anthozoa; Malacalcyonacea; Plexauridae.